Molecule: ribosomal RNA, 253 nt
Filed under: uncultured bacterium
Lineage: Bacteria
Description: partial 16S ribosomal RNA
Rfam family: Bacterial small subunit ribosomal RNA
Source: RNAcentral
UACGUAGGGUGCAAGCGUUGUCCGGAAUUAUUGGGCGUAAAGAGCUCGUAGGCGGUCUGUCGCGUCGAAUGUGAAAAUCCGAGGCUCAACCUCGGACCUGCAUUCGAUACGGGCAGACUAGAGUUCGGUAGGGGAGUCUGGAAUUCCUGGUGUAGCGGUGAAAUGCGCAGAUAUCAGGAGGAACACCGGUGGCGAAGGCGGGACUCUGGGCCGAUACUGACGCUGAGGAGCGAAAGCGUGGGGAGCAAACAGG